GGGUGUAUAGCUCAGGGGUAGAGCGUGUGCUUAGCAUGUAUGAGGUCCUGGGUUCAAUUCCCAGUAUGUUCA
This 72-nucleotide transfer RNA is filed under the name Camelus bactrianus (Bactrian camel). It matches the Rfam family "tRNA". Rfam says of the family: Transfer RNA (tRNA) molecules are approximately 80 nucleotides in length. Their secondary structure includes four short double-helical elements and three loops (D, anti-codon, and T loops). Further hydrogen bonds mediate the characteristic L-shaped molecular structure. tRNAs have two regions of fundamental functional importance: the anti-codon, which is responsible for specific mRNA codon recognition, and the 3' end, to which the tRNAs corresponding amino acid is attached (by aminoacyl-tRNA synthetases). tRNAs cope with the degeneracy of the genetic code in two manners: having more than one tRNA (with a specific anti-codon) for a particular amino acid; and 'wobble' base-pairing, i.e. permitting non-standard base-pairing at the 3rd anti-codon position. The record is from Rfam by way of RNAcentral. RNAcentral also lists the same sequence under 2 other names. Lineage: Eukaryota; Metazoa; Chordata; Mammalia; Artiodactyla; Camelidae.